AACUGAAGAGUUUGAUCAUGGCUCAGAUUGAACGCUGGCGGCAGGCUUAACACAUGCAAGUCGAGCGGGGGAAGGUAGCUUGCUACUGGACCUAGCGGCGGACGGGUGAGUAAUGCUUAGGAAUCUGCCUAUUAGUGGGGGACAACAUCUCGAAAGGGAUGCUAAUACCGCAUACGUCCUACGGGAGAAAGCAGGGGAUCUUCGGACCUUGCGCUAAUAGAUGAGCCUAAGUCGGAUUAGCUAGUUGGUGGGGUAAAGGCCUACCAAGGCGACGAUCUGUAGCGGGUCUGAGAGGAUGAUCCGCCACACUGGGACUGAGACACGGCCCAGACUCCUACGGGAGGCAGC
Molecule: ribosomal RNA, 348 nt
Filed under: Acinetobacter baumannii ABNIH14
Lineage: Bacteria; Pseudomonadati; Pseudomonadota; Gammaproteobacteria; Moraxellales; Moraxellaceae
Description: bacterial SSU rRNA
Rfam family: Bacterial small subunit ribosomal RNA
Source: RNAcentral